Molecule: ribosomal RNA, 427 nt
Filed under: uncultured archaeon
Lineage: Archaea
Description: bacterial SSU rRNA
Rfam family: Archaeal small subunit ribosomal RNA
Source: RNAcentral
UACCAGCUCUCCGAGUUGGGGGGAUGAUUAUUGGGCUUAAAGCGUCCGUAGCUGGCUUAGCAAGUCUCCUGUUAAAUUCAGCGACCUAAUCGUUGAGCCGCGGGAGAUACUACUAGGCUAGGAGGCGGGAGAGGUCGACGGUACUUUCGGGGUAGGGGUGAAAUCCUAUAAUCCCGGGAGGACCACCAGUGGCGAAGGCUGUCGACUAGAACGCGCUCGACGGUGAGGGACGAAAGCUGGGGGAGCGAACCGGAUUAGAUACCCGGGUAGUCCCAGCUGUAAACUAUGCGGGCUAGGUGUUGGGGUGGCUACGGGCCACUUCAGUGCCGCAGGAAAGCCAUUAAGCCCGCCGCCUGGGGAGUACGGCCGCAAGGCUGAAACUUAAGGAAUUGGCGGGGAGCACCACAAGGCGUGAAGCUUGCGGUUC